Molecule: small RNA, 167 nt
Filed under: Marmota monax (woodchuck)
Lineage: Eukaryota; Metazoa; Chordata; Mammalia; Rodentia; Sciuridae
Source: RNAcentral
GCUGGGCGCAGUGGUGCACCCCUGUAAUCCCAGAGACUUGGGAGGCUGAGGCAGGAGGAUCGCAAGUUUGAGGCCAGUCUCAGCAACUUAGUGAGACCCUGAGCCAAUUAGUAAGACCCUGAGCAAGUUAGUGAGACCCUGGGCAACUUAGCAAGACUCUGUCUCAA